AGCUCCAAUAGCGUAUAUUAAAGUUGUUGCAGUUAAAAAGCUCGUAGUUGGAUCUCAGGUCCCGACCUUCGGUUCGCCUCGCGGCGUCAACUGACCGUUCGGACCCGUCUUGGUCGGUUUUCGCUUGGUGCUCUUCGUUGAGUGUCUCGCGGUGCCGACUCGUUUACUUUGAAAAAAUUAGAGUGUUCAAAGCAGGCGCUUCGCCUGAAUAAUGGUGCAUGGAAUAAUGGAAUAGGAUCUCGUUCCUAUUUUGUUGGUUUUCGGGAAUCGAGGUAAUGAUUAAGAGGGACAGACGGGGGCAUUCGUAUUGCGGUGUUAGAGGUGAAAUUCUUGGAUCGCCGCAAGACGAGCUACUGCGAAAGCAUUUGCCAAGAAUGUUUUCA
This 383-nucleotide ribosomal RNA is filed under the name uncultured eukaryote. RNAcentral describes it as "SSU rRNA". It matches the Rfam family "Eukaryotic small subunit ribosomal RNA", at positions 587 to 972 of the family's 1831-position model. The record is from RNAcentral.